CAAUGUAUGUCAGUAGGCUGACGAUGAUAAUAUGGUGGUGAACUACGAUAAAAAUUAACGGGUAAAUGCUGCGGCAGCGACAUACCGCUGCUUUUUUGUCUUCAUGACACAAGGUGGGCCGCGAAUUUUAAACUUUCUUGUAGAUGGGCCGCGGUCCCGACAAGUUUGGGAAACACUGAUGUAG
Long non-coding RNA from Aricia agestis (brown argus), 184 nucleotides. RefSeq lists it as uncharacterized. The transcript has 3 exons. The record is from RefSeq and is a predicted model, not a curated record. NCBI's taxonomy places the organism in Eukaryota, Metazoa, Arthropoda, Insecta, Lepidoptera, Lycaenidae.